CCUACGGGAGGCAGCAGUGAGGAAUAUUGGUCAAUGGACGCAAGUCUGAACCAGCCAUGCCGCGUGCAGGAUGACGGCUCUAUGAGUUGUAAACUGCUUUUAUACGGGGGUAAACUGAGAUACGCGUAUCUGUCUGAAAGUAUCGUACGAAUAAGCAUCGGCUAACUCCGUGCCAGCAGCCGCGGUAAUACGGAGGAUGCAAGCGUUAUCCGGAUUUAUUGGGUUUAAAGGGUGCGUAGGCGGUCGGUUAAGUUAGAGGUGAAAUCCAGAGGCUCAACCUCGGAAUUGCCGCUGAUACUGUUCGACUAGAGAGUAGUUGAGGUAGGCGGAAUGUAUGGUGUAGCGGUGAAAUGCUUAGAGAUCAUACAGAACACCGAUUGCGAAGGCAGCUUACCAAGCUACUACUGACGUUGAGGCACGAAAGCGUGGGGAGCAAACAGGAUUAGAUACCCGAGUAGUC
RNAcentral lists this ribosomal RNA (460 nucleotides) under uncultured bacterium. Its description in RNAcentral is "partial 16S ribosomal RNA". It matches the Rfam family "Bacterial small subunit ribosomal RNA", at positions 338 to 795 of the family's 1533-position model. The record is from RNAcentral.